This is a long non-coding RNA of Bicyclus anynana (squinting bush brown), 1093 nucleotides long. RefSeq lists it as uncharacterized. Lineage: Eukaryota; Metazoa; Arthropoda; Insecta; Lepidoptera; Nymphalidae. The transcript has 2 exons. The record is from RefSeq and is a predicted model, not a curated record.
CAAAUGGCGAUUUACUCUUUGAUUUCAAUUUAUAGUGAUCUGUGAUUUAGUUAUUUUCAAUUGAUUUGAUGGUUGUGUUGUGUUAUUUUUUAUUUUAGUGAUUUUUAUUCUUAAAGUGAAAAAUAAAGAUUAAGGAAAAUAGAUAUUCAUCCACAUUAGUGAGUAUUUAAAUCACACUAUAUAGGUGCGAACCAAACCGUAGAAAUACAUUACUGAAAAACUUUAACUCACAGAAAAUCCUGCCUUCUCUUGCCGAAAAGGUUACAAGAUUAUAAGGGAUACGUUUAGGCUGGAGUGACUCCAGCGGGGAUCAGCACCAAAAGGACCUACAUACAACGGCCAACCCUAGUGGCCAAGUGCGGAAAAGGCCCAGGAAUAAGAAGAAGAAGAAGAUAUAUAAAGAAAGAACAAUUAAUUGCAGUUGCAAACAAUUGAUUAACUAUUAUCUUCAGUCCUAGACAAUGGUUUGAAGAAUUUAGAAAUUUUUUCUUGCUCAACAUUUUUUAAAAGCUUCUAUUCAGUGGCAUUCUUAAACCAUCCAUUCACAAUUUCAGCAAUAGGUAUUUGCAAGUUAAAGUUUAAAUUUGCACGAGUAACGAAAUAUUUAGCUGUGAUUAUAGGAAUUGAGAUACAAUUUUUAAUUUUUUUUUUUUUUUUUUUACACGUUAGCCCUUGACUACAAUCUCACCUGAUGGUAAGUGAUGAUAUAAUCUAAGAUGGAAACGGGCUAACUUGUUAGGAGGAGGAUGAAAAUCCACCCUCCUUUCGGUUUCUACACGACAUCGUACCGGAACGCUAAAUUGCUUGGCGGUACGUCUUUGUCGGUAGGGUGGUAACUAGCUACGGCCGAAGCCUCCCACCAGCUAGACCUGGAACAGUUGAGAAAACCUCAAUCAACCCAGCCGGAGAUCGAACCCAGGACCUCCGUCAUUAAAUCCACUGCGCAUACCACUGCGCCACGGAGGCCGUCAAUUCCGCGAAUAGUGAACAUGUGAAUAAAGGAAGCUUGAAUAAGGAGCUUUUACUGUAUGUAUAUAUUAUGUAACUGAGUUACUGCUGCCUUGCAGAUAAAGCAGACUACAGCGAGGUCAAA